GAUGAACGCUAGCGGGAGGCUUAACACAUGCAAGUCGAGGGGCAGCAUAGGGUAGCAAUACUCUGAUGGCGACCGGCAAACGGGUGAGUAACGCGUAUGCAACCUACCCUGUACAGGGGGAUAACCCGGAGAAAUUCGGACUAAUAUCCCGUAAUAAUAUCCGGAGGCAUCUUUGGAUAUUUAAAGUUCCGACGGUACGGGAUGGGCAUGCGUAACAUUAGCUGGUUGGUAAGGUAACGGCUUACCAAGGCUAUGAUGUUUAGGGGUCCUGAGAGGGUGGUCCCCCACACUGGUACUGAGACACGGACCAGACUCCUACGGGAGGCAGCAGUGAGGAAUAUUGGUCAAUGGGCGCAAGCCUGAACCAGCCAUCCCGCGUGCAGGAAGACGGCCCUAUGGGUUGUAACUGCUUUUCCAGGGAGAGAAACUUACGCACGUGUUGCGUGACUGACGGUACCCUGGGAAUAAGCAUCGGCUAACUCCGUGCCAGCAGCCGACGGUAAAAUCACGUGUAC
Molecule: ribosomal RNA, 515 nt
Filed under: uncultured bacterium
Lineage: Bacteria
Description: bacterial SSU rRNA
Rfam family: Bacterial small subunit ribosomal RNA
Source: RNAcentral